AUUGAACGCUGGCGGCAGGCCUAACACAUGCAAGUCGAGCGGAUGAAGGGAGCUUGCUCCUGGAUUCAGCGGCGGACGGGUGAGUAAUGCCUAGGAAUCUGCCUGGUAGUGGGGGAUAACGUCCGGAAACGGGCGCUAAUACCGCAUACGUCCUGAGGGAGAAAGUGGGGGAUCUUCGGACCUCACGCUAUCAGAUGAGCCUAGGUCGGAUUAGCUAGUUGGUGGGGUAAAGGCUUACCAAGGCGACGAUCCGUAACUGGUCUGAGAGGAUGAUCAGCCACACGGGAACGGAGACAGGGACCAUACGACUACGGGAGGCAGCAGUGGCGAAUAGUAGGCAAUGGGCGAAAGCCUGAUCCAGUCAUGCCGCGUGUGUGAAGAAGGUCUUCGGAUUGUAAAGACCUUUAAGUUGGGAGGAAGGGCAGUAAGUUAAUACCUUGCUGUUUUGACGUUACUGACAGAAUAAGCACCGGCUAACUUCGUG
RNAcentral lists this ribosomal RNA (484 nucleotides) under uncultured bacterium. RNAcentral describes it as "partial 16S ribosomal RNA". It matches the Rfam family "Bacterial small subunit ribosomal RNA", at positions 30 to 507 of the family's 1533-position model. The record is from RNAcentral.